RNAcentral lists this ribosomal RNA (589 nucleotides) under uncultured bacterium. RNAcentral's name for it is "partial 16S ribosomal RNA". It matches the Rfam family "Bacterial small subunit ribosomal RNA", at positions 355 to 1376 of the family's 1533-position model. The record is from RNAcentral.
UGGGGAAUAUUGGACAAUGGGCGCAAGCCUGAUCCAGCAAUGCCGCGUGUGUGAAGAAGGCCUUCGGGUUGUAAAAGCACUUUUAUCAGGAGCGAAACGCUGUCGGCUAAUACCCGGCGGAACUGACGGUACCUGAGGAAUAAGCACCGGCUAACUUCGUGCCAGCAGCCGCGGUAAUACGAAGGGUGCAAGCGUUAAUCGGAAUUACUGGGCGUAAAGCGUGCGUAGGCGGUUUCUUAAGUCUGCUGUGAAAUCCCCGGGCUCAACCUGGGAAUGGCAGUGGAUACUGGGAGGCUAGAGUGUGUCAGAGGGUGGUGGAAUUCCCGGUGUAGCGGUGAAAUGCGUAGAGAUCGGGAGGAACAUCAGUGGCGAAGGCGGCCACCUGGGACAACACUGACGCUGAGGCACGAAAGCGUGGGGAGCAAACAGGAUUAGAUACCCUGGUAGUCCACGCCCUAAACGAUGCGAACUGGAUGUUGGUCUCAACUCGGAGAUCAGUGUCGAAGCUAACGCGUUAAGUUCGCCGCCUGGGGAGUACGGUCGCAAGACUGAAACUCAAAGGAAUUGACGGGGUCAUAGCUGUUUCCUG